RNAcentral lists this long non-coding RNA (8290 nucleotides) under Triticum aestivum (bread wheat). Its description in RNAcentral is "long non-coding RNA (TAES_LNC022603)". The record is from RNAcentral. Lineage: Eukaryota; Viridiplantae; Streptophyta; Magnoliopsida; Poales; Poaceae.
CCCUUUGUGUUGUUUCGUUCUAGUUGAUCAGUAGUGGAGCCCAGUUGGGGUCGAUCAGGGACCUUUGUCGCAUUUGGGGUUCUUCUUUUAUUUUGGUUCCGUAGUCAGACCUUGAUUGUAUCUGGAUGAUGUAAUGCUUUAUUCAUGUAAUUGUGUGAAGUGGCGAUUGUAAGCCAACUAUGUAUCUCUUUCCCUUAUGUAUUACAUGGGUUGUGUGAAGAUUACCUCACUUGCGACAUUGCUUUCAAUGCGGUUAUGCCUCUAAGUCGUGCUUCGACACGUGGGAGAUAUAGCCGCAUCGAGGGCGUUACAAGUUGGUAAUCAGAGCCUUCCCCGACCUUAGGAGCCCCCACUGCUUGAUCGUUUUUAGCGGCCGAGUUGUGUCUAGAAAAAUGUUUUGAGUCCUUAGGAAUUAUAUAUCGGAGAGCUUAGGAAUUCUUUUUACUCCUCAGUCCCUUCGUCACUCUUGCGAGGCAUCCUGACGUAGAGUUUUGACUCUUCUCUUCUCGAAUUUCACUAAAUUUUUUUUUUUAGGAUCACGCGGGUAUCUUGGAAUCGUUCCGAUGGUUUUAUGAUGAGAGCAUUGUCUUGGUGCCUCCUGUCAGGGGUUUAGUGGAAGUGUCCCGGGGAGUUGAGCUCUGAGGUGUUGUCGUCAUAAUUUUAUCGUUGCAGUUCUGGAAUACCUGAGUUUAGUACGCCGACAUCGAAAAUCUCUUUUAUGCAGUUGUUGGUGAGAUAACCCCGAUAACCCAGUACUGAGGUGAGUACGGGAGUAUUGCCAUGACUUGUAUAACGGAUGCUUUUCGAAGGUUGAGGUAGACGAUUUCCGAAGGUUUCUUGGUUAUGUGUUGAAGGAUGGAUACAGCUGGAUGUAGGAUUUGUUAGUUUUGGGUGAGAUAUUAUGCUUCCCCUGUAUCCCCAACACCUGAUUGCAUAACCUGAAAAUUUCGGGAGUUUCAUAGGUGGGAAUUCAAGUAGCUCUUAGGAUAUCUUUCCAACAGAUGUAUGAUAUGAAAUUGGGGUUCGACGUCUAGUGGUCCGCCUAUUCACGGUCGAUUUUACAGUGGUCUCGUUGUGUCUUAAAGAGUCCUUGGCUAUGCCGACUCGGGGACGCUUCGUAUGUCAUGUGCACUGCCUUGUACAUGAUGGUGCUGUAUGAUCGAGCCCGUGUAGGCCCCACCACGAAAACUUCGGACGAAAUCUCUAUCAUAUGUUUGUUCUGGCUUAUUUUGCAAGCCAAUCCUUUGUUUUGUUUUGAGUUGUGGUAUUCGAGUUGCUUCGAAGUCAAAUGUUGAUUCCAUACCUUUUCCAAAUGGUGUUCUCAUAUUCCUAUGUGAAUACUAAUCCUUCUUGAUCAUCGAGUCUGUCUUGUCAAUCCUUUUUUUUUGUUUUUGUUAACCGGUGUGUCUCUCCUCAAGUGGAUCCGUUCACGUCAACAUUUGCAAGAUCAUUUAUCACUUCUUCUCAACGGUGUUUGUUUCAUCCGUCUCCAAGUUGCCUUUGUUUUCCCCACCCUCCCUCCCUUUUGUUUUUCUUCAAGGACUAAGAUUUCUUCUUCAAGUAUCCAUUUUAUUGAUGGGAAGUUUCUCCAUUCUUUUCCGUCAAUGUUCUUAUCCGGUGAUUCUCAUGAAGAUUCUAAUGGAGCUUCAAGUUCGUCAUUCCUCAUUCUUUUCUUCUCCGGUGGAUUUAAUUCAAGCUUUGGUAUUAAGCAUACUCCUUUUCUUUUUUUUCCAAUGCUUUUCUUAUGCCGGUGCACCUCUUAAUCAUCCAUCUCUCGCUAUUAAAUUGUUCCGGAGUGCUCAAGAUAUCUCGAAGAUUCGUGUUUCCACUAUGCAUUCGUUCAAGAUCUUUCGAGGAUGUUCUCUCAUUCAAGUCUUUUAUUGCAACCGGUGCAUUAUCUCUCUUCAAAUUGUUCAACGGUGUUUCUUUUGAGUGGGCCCUAACCCACAUGUCUUUUCCUAGGAUCUUACCUGACUCUUCUAUUUUCCCAGAGCUAUCCUAAAUUCUUCUCCAAGUUUGACGUAAGAAUGAGUUAUCAUCAGUCAAAUGCUUUUUCUCCAAGAUCUUUCAAAUUCUUUUCAUAGUUGGCUCAACCUCUUCGCUUUUGAUUCUUCCGGUGUGCCUCAAUAAUUCUUGGUGGUGUUUCUUGUUGUCAUUCUCAUCAUUUGAAGACCGAAGAAGAGUUUCUCUUUAAUCUUGCUCUAUUCUCUUCAAGAUUCAUGGUGCUAGCUUGUUGCCAUCCUCUCAUAAUUGUUUUCGAUUGUGAGAAUCUUUUUCACCCAUCAGGAGAUAUUCAAGAGUCUUCUCAGUUUGUCAUCCGGAGUCCAUCAAUUCAGGUUUAUUCAUUCUCAGCCGUCAGUUAUCAUUCUCCUAUCUUGCCGGUGCAUCUAUCGAAUAUCCUCUAAUCAGUUCUUGAUCUCUUUGUUCUCAUGUAUCUAGUUUGUCUCAAGCACCUUCGUUCAUUUGCUAAUUCUUACCGGUGAUGCACCCCUACUUCGAUCAUUUUCAAUUCUUACGGUGGUUCUUUCAAGAUCUCUCUUCCUUGUCCAUCAUAUCAAUUCAUUUGUUGUUCCAAUCCUACCGGUGGUUCGUUGAAGACCUUCUCAAGUUUACGCUAUAUCUCUUUCAAUCCUUUCUACGAGAAUAAGAAGUAUGCCAAAUCCGUUGAUUGUCGUCAAUUUAAUUGGGGAAGGAUAAGCAUAACAUAAUUCUUAUUCUUGUUCAUCCAAGUGAUUAAUUCUUUAUUCCGGAGGCCCUUAAAAUUCUCGGUUUCAUUUGUUUCAUCUUCUCUUUUUCCCGGAGUUCCAAGCUCUAAUUAUCACGGAGAUCCAUCUAAAUCAUUGCAAGGAUUCACCUUGUGUUUUCAAUUUCUCUUUCUUUUCAUUCCUUUUGUUUACCGGAGUUCUUCAUGGAGGUUCUACAUGAUGGUUCAUCAAGGAUUUAAUUCCCUUCUCAAAGUUUUCAUCGAGAUUCUUUCCUAAGGAGCUCAAGCUUUCUUCAUAUGGUAAUCCCGAGUGCAAUUCUUUCUACCAUAUUUUGGAGGUGGUAUUAUGUCAUUCUUGAUAAUUUGAGUUCAUGUUCCAUGAUUCACAAGUUUUCAAGAGUGACAUAUUUAAAUCCAUCUUUUUCUCUUUGUUCAAGAGAUCUUUUCAACCGUCAAUCUCUUCAUUGGAGUUAUCUUGGUAUAGAUUUCACCUAAAGCCUUCCCUAAGGAAUGUUGCUAUUUUGGUGCUUAUUAAUGACCCAAGUUAUCUCUUUUCCAUCUUGAUGGAAGAAGUUUUCAUCUCUUCGUUAAUCUCAAGCAAGCAAUUGUUUCCGUUAGUGGCCGGUUGUCACCUCAUAAUUUUGAGAUGUUUUCCAUAAGCCCACUACAAGCUUGUGCUUUUCGUUGUUGAUUUUCCAACAACUCCGUUCAAUUCUUCUUUGCAAGGAUGCUUUCCAAACUCAUUUGUGGCAGAAGUUGGCAUUUUCUUCUCCAUUCUGUUAUUCCAAUGAUAUAUCUUCUAUUAUUUCUUUCGGAGGCAUUGUGACAUUGCUCUUUUCACUCACCAUCUCGAUUCGUGAGGAUCGUGUUCUUUUCUUGCUUAUCCAUUUAACCGGAGUGUCGUGUUUUCAUUCGAGUUCUCUAAUCUUAUCAAGUUUUCCCUCCUUCCUCAACUGGAGAGCUGUCUGAAAUCCUUCUUACCCAUUGUGCCAUUCUUUCAAUAGUUCUGGAGGCAGUGUGUUGUUGAUUUCAUCAAGUAACAUCCCAUCUUCUCAAGUUCAUGUUCUAUUCCUUCCAUGUUCAACCGGAGUACUGCCCGCAUUCUUCCCCUCUCAUCUUGUUUUAACUGGAGUGGUUUCGAAUUCUAUCUUGUCCAUUAAACUCUUGAUUCAUGUCUUUGCAACCUUCAAGUUCUCGUAAUGUUCCUUGUUCCUCUUUCUAACGGAUUGUUUGCAAUCUCGUUCAUCUCCUUUGUAUUCUUUCUUUCAAUUUGUUCAACCUCUCAAGGUUCUUUGGUUUCACUCAUUGGUCAUAGAAGCAACUUAGUUUUACCUCUUCUCUUCCUCUUCCAUUUCUCUCCGGUGCCAUCCUAGAUCUCGGGACGAGAUCCUCUUGUAGUGGUGGAGUGUUGUAACGCCCCGAGACCGACGCUCCAGAAGACUUCCAGCUACUCCGAGAUUCGUCGUGUGAUUUGUUUUGUUCGUUGCAUUCAUCCUUGCAUCAUGUUGCAUUUCAUCAUGCUCAUCAUGUGCAUUGUGUGUUUCAUGCAUGAUCACCCCUUGCAUCACCCCUCCCCUCCUUCUCUUGCUUCUAUUUGGCAAGUACCAUUUUUCACUCCUCCUUUAAUGUUCAUCUCUUCCUCACAAUUCAAGCAUCAUGCCACUCACCUCCCUGCCAAGUUUCACCUAUUUUGGAGCUGGUUUGGUUGGGAUAAAAAAUGCUUCAAGUUGGAACCUAAUUCAAACUUGGAAUAUUUUUUGGCCUUUAAAAUUUCCCAAAUCAGUUUUAUUGAAUACUACGCAAAUUCAGGACCUUGAGAAUUUUGUCACAUCUCUCUAAAUCCUCCCAAAUCCCCCUCUGGUUUUCCUUUUGUUUUCUGUUUGAAGAAAAACGAAAAAGGGAAAAAAAAGGAGGAGCAAGCCCAGCCGGCCUCUAAGGCCCAUCUGCAGCCUAAGCAGGCCCAGCCGCCCCCACCAAUCCCUCCUAACCCUAGCCCAGCCCCCACGCACCCCAUCUCUCCCCUCGUUCCUCCUCCAGCGCCGCAGCCUCCUGCGCCCGAUCCUCUCGCGGCCGCUCCCCUCGAUCCCCUCGCCUCCCUCCUCUCGAUCUCUCCCUCUCGCUCGCUCGUGCCCCUUCCACAGAGAAAGGGAGAGGAGCGAGACCCCUCCUCCCGAGCGCGCCUCCCAUGUCGCGCCCUGUUCCAUCAGCCCCCGCGCCCGGCCUCUGCAACACCACCGGGACGGCCAACUCCGGCGGCCCUCCAUCGCCUGCGGCCGUGCCUCCUCCUCCGCAUCAGCCGGUUUCUCCCCUCGUUCCCACGCUGCGCCAUGGCCGCCUACCUCCGCUGCCGUCGCGCCCUUCGGUCCCUGUGCCUCGCGACCGCGCCAAGUCCGCCCCGUCUCCUCGCGCCGGCCCUGCCGCCAAGCCCUGCCGCCGGAGCUCGCCUUCGUCCUGACUCCGGCAGGAUCAGGGCCCUGCUUGUCGCGCCCCGCCGGAGGGCCACCCUGCGCGCGACCUCGCCGGGCCUUCUCUGCUGCCCUUCGCCGCGCCAAGUUCCCUGCCGCCAGGGACGCGAGCUUCUCUGCCUCCCCCGGCGUUCGUUCACGCUCUAGCGCCGCCGCCAUCGUCGGAGCUGGGCUCCCGCCGCCCAGGUCCGCGUCUCAUCCUCGUCCUCGCCCGAUCCCCGUCGCCGAUGCACCUGGACAUCGCACCAUUGCUCGUGGCAUGCCAAGACCGCCCCGUGGAGUUCGCGAGUUACCACUACGAAGGCCUCUGGGUUCGCCAAGUACCCAACCGACAAGACCCCACGGACGUCUACUUCCAGAUGGAUUUCGUCAAGUUCGACGACCGCGUCAAGUACCUCUACCGCCGUCUACGGAAACACCAAGUACCACGACACCCAUGUUCGUCUACGGAAUGUGUACCACUACGCCGAAGAGCUUGGAUGCACCAAGUUCCACUACGAUUGCCGUGUACAUCUGCCGUCGUCCGAAGACCCGUGUACCACGAGCGCCAAGUUCAUCUACGGAACGUGUACGUCUCCAAUGGUGUACCACUACCGAUGCCGUGUACAACUACUACCACCGACAUGUACAACUACUUCCGAUGACGACCGCUCCGUGAACGUCUACUUCCUCUACAUCGUACCGAACUCGAUCCGCCCCGAAAACGCACGCUUCGAAGGUAUAACGCCGAGACGACGCCCGUGAUCUAAUGCAUGUGUUGAAUGAGAUGCAUCGUUUGCUCCGUGAUCGAAUCGUCCUUGCGAUGCCCCUCUUUUGCCGUGCCACUAUCCCGUGGGAACCCGGUAGACGGGAUCACCCCACCAUCUUCUGCAUGUUUCGCACAUCCGCACACUUGCUCUUUUGCACCGGUAUCUCCAUGAGUUACCGGGACCGGAAUGUUGCCGUGGCACCAUUUUUGUUUCGCCGCCGUGGCACCCUUUUUGUUCCGCCAUGGUGACCAAAUGCUUCAUAACAUGCUCAUGUCAACAUUUUCAUAAAAUUGCAUAAAACUUGUAUAUGUCAUCCGCAUCAUGAUAACAACAUUUAAAAUGUUUAAACUUGUUGUUGCAUUAAUUUGCUAAAUGCAUAUGGGGAUUUACCGGAUUUGUUGUUUUUAUAUCCGGCCCCAUUUAAAUUGUUUAGAUGGUAUAGUUUAUAUUAUGCUUCACCUCUUGCCAUGUUUAACAACAGUUAAUAUUGUUGGGUAGCUUAAACGAGAGAUAACUAAAUAAUUGAUGUGGUGUUCCGUCAACAUGCACCUCGUUGCAUAUUGAGCUCCACUUAACUUGUAGUAUUGUUUGUUGCACUUUGCCAUGCCAUGCCUCAUUAAACCGGACAUGCAUCAUACUUGUUUGUGCAUCAUGACUUGUUUAUGCUUGUGUGUUUACUAUGUUGUUUGUUUCUUUCCGGGUUGCUUCUCUCGUUAGCUUCGGUUUCGUUCCGGAGUUGUGAGGAUUUGUUCGUCUACGACCGUUUGUCUUCUUCUUGGAUUCGUUCUUCUUCCUUGCGGGAUCUCAGGCAAGAUGAUCAUACCCUCGAAAUCACUACUAUCUUUGCUAUGCUAGUUUGCUCGCUCUUUUGCUAUGCCAAUGCUACGAUGCCUACCAUUUGCUUGUCAGCCUCCCAAAUUGCCAUGUCAAACCGCUAACCCACCAUGUCCUAGCAAACCGUUGAUUGGCUAUGUUACCGCUUUGCUCAGCCCCUCUUAUAGCGUUGUUAGUUGCAGGUGAAGAUUGAAGUUUGUUCCUUGCUAGAACAUGGAGAUGUUGUUCCUUGUUGGAACAUGUUUACUUGUUGGGAUAUCACAAUAUAUCUUAUUUAAUUAAUGCAUCUAUAUACUUGGUAAAGGGUGGAAGGCUCGGCCUUAUGCCUGGUGUUUUGUUCCACUCUUGCCGCCCUAGUUUCCGUCAUAUCGGUGUUAUGUUCCCGGAUUUUGCGUUCCUUACACGGUUGGGCUAUAAUGGGAACCCCUUGACAGUUCGCCUUAAGUAAAGCUCCUCCAGCAAUGCCCAACAUUGGUUUUACCAUUUGCACUAACAACCUACCACCUUCCCUUGGGUUCUGCAGACUCAAGGGUCAUCUUUAUUCUAACCCCCCCGGGCCAGUGCUCCUCUGAGUGUUGGUCCGAACUAGAGCCCUGUGCAGCGCCCCCUCGGGGAAACUCGAGGUUUGGUUUUAGUUGUACGGAUUGCUCAUCUGAGUGUGCCCUGAGAAAGAGAUAUGUGCAGCUCCUAUCGGGAUUUGUCGGCACAUUCGGGCGGUGUUGCUGGUUUAGUUUUACCCUGUCGAAAUGUCUUGUUGUACCGGGAUACCGAGUCUGAUCGGAACGUCUCGGGUGGAGGUCUAUUCCUUCGUUGACCGUGAGAGCUUGUUAUGGGCUAAGUUGGGACACCCCUGCAGGGUAUUAUCUUUCGAAAGCCGUGCCCGCGGUUAUGGGCAGAUGGGAAUUUGUUAACGUCCGGUUGUAGAAAACCCGAAGUUGACCUUAAUUAAAACACAUCAACCGUGUGUGUAACCGUGAUGGUCUCUUUCCGGCGGAGUCCGGGAAGUGAACACGGUGUUGGAGUUAUGCUUGACGUAGGUUGCUAUAGGAUCACUUCUUGAUCAUACUUUUAUCGACCGUGCUUUGCCUUCUCUUCUCGCUCUCAUUUGCGUAUGUUAGCCACCAUAUAUGCUAGUCGCUUGCUGCAGCUCCACCUCAUUACUCCAUCCUUCCUAUAAGCUUAAAUAGUCUUGAUCUCGCGGGUGCGAGAUUGCUGAGUCCCCGUGGCUCACAGAUACUUCCAAAACCAGUUUGCAGGUGCCGAUGAGUUUGUGCAGUUGACGCAACCAAGCUCAAGGAGGAGCUCGAUGAAGAUCUUGCCCUUUGUGUUGUUUCGUUCUAGUUGAUCAGUAGUGGAGCCCAGUUGGGGUCGAUCAGGGACCUUUGUCGCAUUUGGGGUUCUUCUUUUAUUUUGGUUCCGUAGUCGGACCUUGAUUGUAUCUGGAUGAUGUAAUGCUUUAUUCAUGUAAUUGUGUGAAGUGGCGAUUGUAAGCCAACUAUGUAUCUCUUUCCCUUAUGUAUUACAUGGGUUGUGUGAAG